This 315-nucleotide ribosomal RNA is filed under the name Hyalimax perlucidus. RNAcentral describes it as "partial 28S ribosomal RNA". It matches the Rfam family "Eukaryotic large subunit ribosomal RNA", at positions 1 to 309 of the family's 3401-position model. The record is from RNAcentral. Lineage: Eukaryota; Metazoa; Mollusca; Gastropoda; Stylommatophora; Succineidae.
CGACCUCAGAUCGGACGAGAUUACCCGCUGAAUUUAAGCAUAUUACUAAGCGGAGGAAAAGAAACUAACAAGGAUUCCCCCAGUAACGGCGAGUGAAGCGGGAAAAGCCCAGCACCGAAUCCCCCAGUGUCACGCUGGCGGGAACUGUGGUGUGUGGGACGCCACCAGUCGCGCCGGAGGGUGCCGAAGUCCUCCUGAUCGGGGCUUCACCCAGAGCGGGUGUUAAGGCCUUUGCUGGCACCUCUCCGCGCGGCCGCGAGCGUCUCAGAGUCGGGUUGUUUGGGAAUGCAGCCCAAAGCGGGUGGUAAACUCCAU